UCCACGCCGUAAACGAUGUCUACUAGGUUGUGGAGGUUCUGACGCCGUCACGGCCGAAGCAAAAGUGCUAAGUAGACCGCCUGGGGAGUACGGCCGCAAGGCUAAAACUCAAAGGAAUUGACGGGGGCUCACACAAGCGGUGGAGCAUGUGGAUCAAUUCGAAGCAACGCGUAGAACCUUACCUGGGUUUGACAUGCUUGGAUGCUUGCCGGGAAACCGGUUAAGCUGCCCUUCGGGGUGAAACUUGCACAGGUGCUGCAUGGCUGUCGUCAGCUCGUGUUGUGAGAUGUCGGGUUAAGU
This 300-nucleotide ribosomal RNA is filed under the name uncultured bacterium. Its description in RNAcentral is "bacterial SSU rRNA". It matches the Rfam family "Bacterial small subunit ribosomal RNA", at positions 794 to 1085 of the family's 1533-position model. The record is from RNAcentral.